This is a long non-coding RNA of Salvia splendens (bonfire salvia), 329 nucleotides long. RefSeq lists it as uncharacterized. The record is from RefSeq and is a predicted model, not a curated record. The transcript has 2 exons. NCBI's taxonomy places the organism in Eukaryota, Viridiplantae, Streptophyta, Magnoliopsida, Lamiales, Lamiaceae.
CCCUAACCUCAUUCUUGGGAGAAACUCAUGGUCCAUUGGAGAGAAAGGAACCGUGAGAUUCAAUUUCUAAUCAUGUUCCCGAUUUUCGUCGUACUGAUCGUCUGAUCGCAUAAACCUUAAUAAAUCGAGUUAGAGUUGAUAUUAUGUCAGUGGUGUUGCGCAGCUUUGCAUCUUUUGCAAGUCACUGGUGGUCAACUUGGUUUAGCAGUCGUGGCAUGUUGUGUAAUAAUUUAAUCUUUAAUCUUCCGUUGGAUAAAUGUUAAGUUUUUUUAAAUGUAAUAGAUUUUAAUUGUGCUUUUAAGCUAAAAAGAAAAAGGAAAAUUUCAGCA